This 72-nucleotide transfer RNA is filed under the name Stegodyphus mimosarum. It matches the Rfam family "tRNA". Rfam says of the family: Transfer RNA (tRNA) molecules are approximately 80 nucleotides in length. Their secondary structure includes four short double-helical elements and three loops (D, anti-codon, and T loops). Lineage: Eukaryota; Metazoa; Arthropoda; Arachnida; Araneae; Eresidae. The record is from Rfam by way of RNAcentral.
GCCUUCGUAGUGUAGUGGUCAGCACGCUGGACGAGGAAUCGAGAGGUCCGUGGUUCGAUUCUCGUGAUGGCG